AUGGAAGCAAUAGCAUCUGUCGACACCUCCACUGAUAAUCUUAUCCAGAAGAUUAUUCGAACAGAGUUCAAAGCCUGCAUUGUGCUCACCAUUGCACAUCGUAUCCCUACUGUUAUUGACAGCGAUCGAGUUCUGGUGCUCAGUGAUGGUCGAGUUGUUGAGUUUGACACUCCUUUACGGCUAUUAGAAGAUAAGUCAUCCAUGCUUCUAAAGCUGGUAUCUGAGUAUUCAUCGCGGUCGAGCAGCAUACCAGAAUUUUAG
This is a non-coding RNA of Vicia faba (fava bean), 261 nucleotides long. The record is from the annotation of a GenBank genome assembly. NCBI's taxonomy places the organism in Eukaryota, Viridiplantae, Streptophyta, Magnoliopsida, Fabales, Fabaceae.